UACAGAGGGUGCGAGCGUUGUCCGGAAUCACUGGGCGUAAAGGGCGCGUAGGUGGCGCCCCAAGUCUGUGGUGAAAGCUCGAUGCUCAACAUCGAGUCGGCCACGGAAACUGGGGGGCUGGAGCACUGUAGAGGCUAAUGGAAUUCCGGGUGUAGCGGUGGAAUGCGUAGAGAUCCGGAAGAACACCGGUGGCGAAGGCGGUUAGCUGGGCCGUAACUGACGCUGAGGAGCGAAAGCGUGGGGAGCGAACAGG
This 253-nucleotide ribosomal RNA is filed under the name uncultured bacterium. RNAcentral describes it as "partial 16S ribosomal RNA". It matches the Rfam family "Bacterial small subunit ribosomal RNA", at positions 524 to 776 of the family's 1533-position model. The record is from RNAcentral.